UGCGGUCACAGUGGCUUCCUGGAGGCGUUAGCCAGAAGAGCAGGGCAAGGAGGAGUCCAUUUUACGGUAGAGAAACCAAGACCCAGAGGGAGAACAAAUGGAUUGAAGGCACGUGACAAGUUAGUGACCAAGCUGAACCUUGAGA
RNAcentral lists this long non-coding RNA (145 nucleotides) under Mus spicilegus (steppe mouse). RNAcentral describes it as "lncRNA (ENSMSIG00000016457.1)". The record is from RNAcentral. Lineage: Eukaryota; Metazoa; Chordata; Mammalia; Rodentia; Muridae.